ACGGAAGGCAGCAGUGGGGGAUAUUGCACAAUGGGGGAAACCCUGAUGCAGCGACGCCGCGUGAGCGAAGAAGUAUUUCGGUAUGUAAAGCUCUAUCAGCAGGGAAGAAAAUGACGGUACCUGACUAAGAAGCUCCGGCUAAAUACGUGCCAGCAGCCGCGGUAAUACGUAUGGAGCAAGCGUUAUCCGGAUUUACUGGGUGUAAAGGGAGCGCAGACGGUUUGCCAAGUCUGAUGUGAAAGGUGGGGGCUCAACCCCCAAACUGCAUUGGAAACUGGUAGACUAGAGUGUCGGAGAGGUAAGUGGAAUUCCUAGUGUAGCGGUGAAAUGCGUAGAUAUUAGGAGGAACACCAGUGGCGAAGGCGGCUUACUGGACGAUAACUGACGUUGAGGCUCGAAAGCGUGGGGAGCAAACAGGAUUAGAUACCCUGGUA
RNAcentral lists this ribosomal RNA (434 nucleotides) under uncultured Lachnospiraceae bacterium. RNAcentral's name for it is "partial 16S ribosomal RNA". It matches the Rfam family "Bacterial small subunit ribosomal RNA", at positions 341 to 792 of the family's 1533-position model. Lineage: Bacteria; Bacillati; Bacillota; Clostridia; Lachnospirales; Lachnospiraceae. The record is from RNAcentral.